AAAAAAAACAGAUUUCGCAACCAUGACCGGUAACCGGUUGGCCAAUCCGGCUGAAAAGGGGACAUAUUCCGCCAUAAUAGUACUUUCCCGGAAGCGGAGUCGAUCUACAAUGCUGCCUUGAUCUGGAGUAGAAUCGAAGGUUUCAGGUCGCAAAAAACGAGACAAAAACUUAAUAUCAUCUCGUUCCCUGCAGUCGCUUGAGGAAAACGCCAAACGAUUCCAGCACUUCUAUCCAUAGGGAAGGGCAAAGGCUAGCGAGUUUUGUUGAGAUAUUGCUGGGGCGGCCUCCGGAAGAAUGCUGCUGGAGUAUGCGGAAACGAUCAAGAGGAACUGGCUAUCAAGCUCCGAAGAGGGAUCCAUGAAUGAGGUAAACGGGCGAAGUGCAUAUCAGUACCGCGAUUUGAAAAACUGAUCGGCUCAAGUAGCAGCAGCCAGCCCAUACAUCUGGAUCUAGGAACGGUUUAUUCAGCGGAAGUCGGAGGUGUUUUUAAAUUACAUUAGAAUAGUGUUUAAUGACUGCAAUCAGGUGAAAUAUCCAUCCAGUACGACACACUCUGACGGGGAGAGAAAGGUUCUAAAUGGUGAGGGGUGAUGGAGUCGGGAAAUUAAAAUAUGCCAUGGAUUUUUUUAGAGUUAUUGUACUUGAAGUAAAAUAUUUCUAGACGUA
Long non-coding RNA from Aedes albopictus (Asian tiger mosquito), 667 nucleotides. RefSeq lists it as uncharacterized. The record is from RefSeq and is a predicted model, not a curated record. NCBI's taxonomy places the organism in Eukaryota, Metazoa, Arthropoda, Insecta, Diptera, Culicidae. The transcript is spliced from 2 exons.